This 448-nucleotide ribosomal RNA is filed under the name uncultured bacterium. RNAcentral describes it as "bacterial SSU rRNA". It matches the Rfam family "Bacterial small subunit ribosomal RNA", at positions 329 to 794 of the family's 1533-position model. The record is from RNAcentral.
GUCCAGACUCCUACGGGAGGCAGCAGUGGGGAAUAUUGCACAAUGGGGGAAACCCUGAUGCAGCGACGCCGCGUGAGCGAAGAAGUAUUUCGGUAUGUAAAGCUCUAUCAGCAGGGAAGAAAAUGACGGUACCUGAGUAAGAAGCUCCGGCUAAAUACGUGCCAGCAGCCGCGGUAAUACGUAGGGGGCAAGCGUUAUCCGGAUUUACUGGGUGUAAAGGGAGCGUAGACGGCGAUGCAAGCCAGAUGUGAAAGCCCGCGGCUCAACUGCGGUAGUGCAUUUGGAACUGUAUGGCUGGAGUGCAGGAGAGGCAGGCGGAAUUCCUAGUGUAGCGGUGAAAUGCGUAGAUAUUAGGAGGAACACCAGUGGCGAAGGCGGCCUGCUGGACUGUAACUGACGUUGAGGCUCGAAAGCGUGGGGAGCAAACAGGAUUAGAUACCCUGGUAUC